Molecule: ribosomal RNA, 497 nt
Filed under: uncultured bacterium
Lineage: Bacteria
Description: partial 16S ribosomal RNA
Rfam family: Bacterial small subunit ribosomal RNA
Source: RNAcentral
AGUGAACGCUGGCGGUAUGCCUAAUACAUGCAAGUCGAGCGGAAGCACAGUAAGCUCUUGCUCCUACCGGUAGCGGGUGACGGGUGGGUGACGAGUACAUCGGCUUCUACUUUUUCUUGGGGGAUUACGUAGGGACACUGACGCUACUACCGCAUACGUUCUACCGCUGGAAUCAAGAGUUCAUCACAGUUUUGGCGACUCAUUGAGCUGAUUCCGCGCCGGAUUAGCUAGUUGGUAAGGUAACGGCCUACCAAGGCGACGAUGCGUAGCUGAUCUGAGAGGAUGAUCAGCCACACUGGAACUGAGACACGGUCCAGACUCCUACGGGAGGCAGCAGUGGGGAAUCUUGGACAAAGGGCGCAAGCCUGACCCAGCCAUGCCGCGUGGGUGAAGAAGGCCUUCGGGUUGUAAAGCCCUGUUGUUGGGAAAGAAAAGCAGCAGGUGAAUACCCCGAUGUCUUGACGGUACCCAAAGAAUAAGCACCGGCUAACUACGUG